CAUGAGUGGCGGACGGGUGAGUAACGCGUGGGCAACCUGCCCUGUACAGGGGGACAACACUUAGAAAUAGGUGCUAAUACCGCAUAACGGGGGGAGCCGCAUGGCACCCCCUGAAAACUCCGGUGGUACAGGAUGGGCCCGCGUCUGAUUAGCUGGUUGGCAGGGUAACGGCCUACCAAGGCGACGAUCAGUAGCCGGCCUGAGAGGGCGGACGGCCACACCGGGACUGAGACACGGCCCAGACUCCUACGGAAGGCAGCAG
RNAcentral lists this ribosomal RNA (262 nucleotides) under uncultured bacterium. Its description in RNAcentral is "partial 16S ribosomal RNA". It matches the Rfam family "Bacterial small subunit ribosomal RNA", at positions 90 to 354 of the family's 1533-position model. The record is from RNAcentral.